UGAGUAGCCCUGGCUAGCGGUUCAACCCGGGCAGGUUAAUCGAAUCCCCUCAGUCUGAAAUCGCAAAAAGUCGUCCAUCACCAUAUGGUAACCGCCCUCUGGCACCAUAAUCCAAACUUUUUCAACUAUUCGUUCCGUUUCCGUUAAAUUCAACGCUGCACCCUUUUCUGUCUACACUACAGCACGUGAUUCAAUGAAGCAACGUUGGCAAACCAGGGGUGUAUUCCUUAAGCUGAUUCUGUUGCAAAACUUUUCUUAGACGGAAGCAAACGGAACGAAAUGGAAAGGGAUCUACCUGAAUUUGUUUAAUAUAAAUUCUCAUUUUGCAUAUGUUUGCACUAAUGAUUACUCCCCAGAGUUGCGGUCAGGACGCUCGUUCUCCUUUGCUGAACGGAAGAUUUCUUCCCGAUACUCCGCUAUAGUCUUCUCUACGGCCCCGAAUAUCUCCACAGCAGCCGCCGACAAACGCUCGGUAACGAACACAUUCAGCAAAUGUAGUUUGGACAUAUUGGCGAGGACAAUGAAAGUCUAGCUGUUUGUUUUAUCAAAGAAAUGUUGAAACGUCUGUCUGCUUCAGCCUAGCGGGUUUACACUACCUAGUAGAUACCUUUUGUAAACAACAAUGUCACGUGCUGUGUUUUCUAUUCAUCAACCGCGAACGGUGUAAGACUGCAUUACAUUAGCGCCCCCUGCUGUCUUGGAGCUGGAUUUGCCAUCCAGGCAAGCAACCAGAGCCAUGUCGUCCGCAUACAGGUAUUUGAUGACGGGGGAGACUCGUCGAGGCCUUGGUGACAGACGGAGAAAACAUCACGAGGCGAUGGCUCCAUCUGCUGGACGUGCCAGGUCUCGACGGGAUCUCCGGCCAGGACUAAUUGGGGCUGUUUGGGGAUUGGAUACAUACAGCAAGACCCGGAGCCCAGAAGACUGUAUCCUAGAGAGGGUCUCUUGGGGGAUACAGUAAGACCCGGAGCCCAGAAGACUGUAUCCUAGAGAGGGUCUCUUGGGGGAGACCUAUUCUUUUCUUUUGGACUAUUAUUUUAAUAAACACCUUUGAAACUGAGCUAAUCC
Molecule: non-coding RNA, 1068 nt
Organism: Oncorhynchus mykiss (rainbow trout)
Lineage: Eukaryota; Metazoa; Chordata; Actinopteri; Salmoniformes; Salmonidae
Source: RefSeq, a predicted model, not a curated record